UAGGGAAUAUUGGACAAUGGGGGCAACCCUGAUCCAGCCAUGCCGCGUGAGUGAAGAAGGCCCUCGGGUUGUAAAGCUCUUUUGUCCGGAAAGAGAAGCAUUCGGUGAAUACCCGGAUGUUCUGACGGUACCGGAAGAAUAAGCACCGGCUAACUUCGUGCCAGCAGCCGCGGUAAUACGAAGGGUGCAAGCGUUACUCGGAAUUACUGGGCGUAAAGCGUGCGUAGGUGGUUGUUUAAGUCUGAUGUGAAAGCCCUGGGCUCAACCUGGGAAUGGCAUUGGAAACUGGGCAGCUAGAGGGCGGUAGAGGGUAGUGGAAUUCCUGGUGUAGCAGUGAAAUGCGUAGAGAUCGGGAGGAACAUCUGUGCCGAAGGCGACUGCCUGGACCAGCACUGACACUGAGGCACGAAAGCGUGGGGAGCAAACA
Molecule: ribosomal RNA, 427 nt
Filed under: uncultured bacterium
Lineage: Bacteria
Description: bacterial SSU rRNA
Rfam family: Bacterial small subunit ribosomal RNA
Source: RNAcentral